RNAcentral lists this ribosomal RNA (497 nucleotides) under uncultured bacterium. Its description in RNAcentral is "partial 16S ribosomal RNA". It matches the Rfam family "Bacterial small subunit ribosomal RNA", at positions 28 to 507 of the family's 1533-position model. The record is from RNAcentral.
GAUGAACGCUGGCGGCGUGCCUAAUACAUGCAAGUCGAGCGAACAGACGAGGAGCUUGCUCCUCUGACGUUAGCGGCGGACGGGUGAGUAACACGUGGAUAACCUACCUAUAAGACUGGGAUAACUUCGGGAAACCGGAGAUAAUACCGGAUCAUAUAUUGAACCGCAUGGUUCAAUAGUGAAAGACGGUUUUGCUGUCACUUAUAGAUGGAUCCGCGCCGCAUUAGCUAGUUGGUAAGGUAACGGCUUACCAAGGCAACGAUGCGUAGCCGACCUGAGAGGGUGAUCGGCCACACUGGAACUGAGACACGGUCCAGACUCCUACGGGAGGCAGCAGUAGGGAAUCUUCCGCAAUGGGCGAAAGCUUGACGGAGCAACGCCGCGUGAGUGAUGAAGGUCUUCGGAUCGUAAAACUCUGUUAUUAGGGAAGAACAAAUGUGUAAGUAACUAUGCACGUCUUGACGGUACCUAAUCAGAAAGCCACGGCUAACUACGUG